RNAcentral lists this transfer RNA (67 nucleotides) under unidentified. RNAcentral's name for it is "Hierodula sp. tRNA-Glu". It matches the Rfam family "tRNA". From Rfam's summary of the family: Transfer RNA (tRNA) molecules are approximately 80 nucleotides in length. Their secondary structure includes four short double-helical elements and three loops (D, anti-codon, and T loops). The record is from RNAcentral.
AUUUAUAUAGUUUAAGAUAAAACAUUACAUUUUCAUUGUAAAAAUAAAAUUUAAAUUUUUAUAAAUU